RNAcentral lists this ribosomal RNA (400 nucleotides) under Listeria monocytogenes. RNAcentral describes it as "partial 23S ribosomal RNA". It matches the Rfam family "Bacterial large subunit ribosomal RNA", at positions 167 to 561 of the family's 2925-position model. Lineage: Bacteria; Bacillati; Bacillota; Bacilli; Caryophanales; Listeriaceae. The record is from RNAcentral.
UAGCGUGAGGAAGGCAGACCCAGGGAACUGAAACAUCUAAGUACCUGGAGGAAGAGAAAGAAAAAUCGAUUUCCUGAGUAGCGGCGAGCGAAACGGAAAGAGCCCAAACCAAGAAGCUUGCUUCUUGGGGUUGUAGGACACUCUAUACGGAGUUACAAAAGAAAGUUAUAAAUGAAGCGGUCUGGAAAGGCCCGCCAAAGACGGUAACAGCCCGGUAGUUGAAAUGGCUUUCCCUCCAGAGUGGAUCCUGAGUACGGCGGAACACGUGAAAUUCCGUCGGAAUCCGGGAGGACCAUCUCCCAAGGCUAAAUACUCCCUAGUGACCGAUAGUGAACCAGUACCGUGAGGGAAAGGUGAAAAGCACCCCGGAAGGGGAGUGAAACAGUUCCUGAAACCGUGU